GAUGAACGCUGGCGGCGUGCUUAACACAUGCAAGUCGAGCGAAGCACUUAACUUUGAUUCUUUCGGGAUGAAGAGUUCUGUGACUGAGCGGCGGACGGGUGAGUAACGCGUGGGUAACCUGCCUCAUACAGGGGGGAUAACAGUUAGAAAUGGCUGCUAAUACCGCAUAAGACCACAGCACCGCAUGGUGCAGGGGGUAAAAACUCCGGUGGUAUGAGAUGGACCCGCGUCUGAUUAGCUAGUUGGUGGGGUAACGGCCUACCAAGGCGACGAUCAGUAGCCGACCUGAGAGGGUGACCGGCACAUUGGGACUGAGACACGGCCCAAAACUCCUACGGGAGGCAGCAGUGGGGAAUAUUGCACAAUGGGGGAAACCCUGAUGCAGCGACGCCGCGUGAGCGAAGAAGUAUUUCGGUAUGUAAAAGCUCUAUCAGCAGGGAAGAAAAUGACGGUACCUGACUAAGAAGCCCCGGCUAAAUACGUGCCAGCAGCCGACGG
Molecule: ribosomal RNA, 498 nt
Filed under: uncultured bacterium
Lineage: Bacteria
Description: bacterial SSU rRNA
Rfam family: Bacterial small subunit ribosomal RNA
Source: RNAcentral